RNAcentral lists this ribosomal RNA (253 nucleotides) under uncultured bacterium. RNAcentral describes it as "partial 16S ribosomal RNA". It matches the Rfam family "Bacterial small subunit ribosomal RNA", at positions 524 to 776 of the family's 1533-position model. The record is from RNAcentral.
UACGAAGGGGGCUAGCGUUGUUCGGAAUUACUGGGCGUAAAGCGCAUGUAGGCGGAUCUAUAAGUCAGAGGUGAAAUCCCCGGGCUCAACCCUGGAAUUGCCUUUGAUACUGUAGAUCUGGAGUCUGGGAGAGGUGAGUGGAAUUCCGAGUGUAGAGGUGAAAUUCGUAGAUAUUCGGAGGAACACCAGUGGCGAAGGCGGCUCACUGGCCCGAGACUGACGCUGAGAUGCGAAAGCGUGGGGAGCAAACAGG